This is a long non-coding RNA of Siniperca chuatsi (mandarin fish), 1574 nucleotides long. RefSeq lists it as uncharacterized. The transcript is spliced from 3 exons. The record is from RefSeq and is a predicted model, not a curated record. Lineage: Eukaryota; Metazoa; Chordata; Actinopteri; Centrarchiformes; Sinipercidae.
UCGCUUCUGUUGAAGCGUAAACAUGUUUUUUCUACAAAACCUUUUUUUUUUUCAUUUAACAAAAGAAGCCAAAGUUCCCAAACGGUUAAACGGCGCUAAGGGUCUCUCGCAUCAAAACAAUAACAGAAGACGCAGUUUGAUGACAUCGUGACAUAGUGUGGGAUCGUGGGAGUUGUUGUCUUCAUUGUUAAACAGCCACCACUGAAGAUGAAGAUCGAGACGUGACUCAGGCAGGAAUCAUGUUCACGGCGAGAGUUUCAUCAGAGCGGCUUCAUCAGAGCAGAGGCAGAGGAAGAGGAAACACUGGAGGGAAUUAAAGCCGCUCAAAGCAAUGGUGGAUCGUGGAGCUCUCUGCAUGGCUCUGGCAAACCAAUCGUUGCUGGUUGACGUAAAACGCAGCGCUGCCGGUGCGUCAGCGCGGGAAUGUCGCCACAGACGGCAGAUUUAAAAACUCUGGUAUACUGUGAAAUCCAGAGAUUUCCCUGCCGGUGAUAGGCUUAAUCAGCACUGUGUGAACUCGAUGCCACUGUUCAAGACAUCAUAAUGCUGGUGUUCGGUUUGGUACUAUUUUUAACAUAUGGAUCCAUCUCAAAUCUGUGAGAUUGACAAUCAAAAAAUGCUUUUUGCAGGUUCAUGUCAUGUUACAUCACAUGAACUGUCUCCUCCUUCUCCCUUAUUAAAUUUUUCAGGCUGCACCUUCGCCACAGGUACAUCAGAUGACUUCCUGCCUGACUGCCUCGGCUGACCUGAAUUCACCGUUUGAUGCCUCUGGCUGCACGGCGAGAAAAAAAAAACUGGAACAUCACAUUUGCAUUUUAGUCAUUUAAGGGGGAAAAAGAGUUCUUAUCAGAGAGACGUCACAGGGAGGGCAGUGUUAGAAGAAACUUCAACUCUUAGAUUACCAACAUCAGACGUAGCCAACAGUCAGGAGGUCAGAGGUCAAACGUCACAGCACCCUGACAGUAGUCCUGACACACUGUAGACAGAUGACUGACCAUGGAGAGUUGGCAUAUAAAAGUCACUGGUUGGAGGCAGAGCAGGAACUUCAUGCAGAGAAAACGGAAGACACACGAGAGGAGGAUGUGAUCCAACGUUAUACAGUAUCAGUGUUACAUGUGUACAUUAGAUUGUGUCUAUUGUGAAGCACUUUGUAACUGAGAUUUUGAAAAGCAUUACAUACUUUACUUUAAAUUCGAGGCCUCCAAAGAUCUUGUGUUCACUGUUCUUGUGUUUCAUUCUGGCCACCACUUCACCACACAAGUUUUCUUUGAUUAAACUUGCAGCUCUUUUCACUCGCCACGCAGGCAAAAAUAAUCUUGCUGUAAUAUUAGAUAUCAAUAUUAAUAAAUAGAUAUGCAUUAACAAGCAACACAUAAGGACACAUAGAAGACAAGAUCCCUCCAUGCUCCCUCUCUCUCCAAAGGCUGCACUUUUCUGCCGACAGUGUAUGGAUACACGUGCACCAUCAUAUAAUUAUGUACAUCUAUUUUUACAUACAUAUUCAUACAUAUUCACAAAGAAAAUAUAUGAUUAACGAAUUAAAUUUUGAUAUUUUCUGCCUGUGCCCUGUUUUC